CCUACGGGAGGCAGCAGUGAGGAAUAUUGGUCAAUGGGCGCGAGCCUGAACCAGCCAAUUAGCGUGAAGGAUGACUGCCCUACGGGUUGUAAACUUCUUUUAUAAAGGACUAACGUUCGGCACGUGUGCCUUUUUGUGUGUACUUUAUGAAUAAGGAUCGGCUAACUCCGUGCCAGCAGCCGCGGUAAUACGGAGGAUCCGAGCGUUAUCCGGAUUUAUUGGGUUUAAAGGGUUCGUAGAUGGGUUGUUAGGUCAGUUGUGAAAGUUUGGGGUCCAACCGUCAAAGUGCAAUUGAAACUGGUAGUCUUGAGUACAUGUGAGGUAGGCGGAAUUCGUGGUGUAGCGGUGAAAUGCAUAGAUAUCACGAAGAACUCCGAUUGCGAAGGCAGCUUACCAAUCCAUAUCUGACGUUGAGGCACGAAAGCGUGGGUAGCAAACAGGAUUAGAUACCCCUGUAGUC
RNAcentral lists this ribosomal RNA (460 nucleotides) under uncultured bacterium. RNAcentral describes it as "partial 16S ribosomal RNA". It matches the Rfam family "Bacterial small subunit ribosomal RNA", at positions 338 to 795 of the family's 1533-position model. The record is from RNAcentral.